GGCAAGGGUUAGGACCCAGGGCACUGAGAGCCCAGGGCCAGGAGGUGAGCUCCGAGCUUGGUGCUUGGAGGAAGCCCCGUCUGGCCCUAUGGCCUUCCUGGUGGCUGGGACCCUGCGGCUGGCCAUGCAGAUGGCAGACACUCGAGACAGCCUGGGGAGAAAGGUAGCAGGAGGCACCGCCUAGCCCAGCUGCUCCUGCUGAGCCCCAGCCCAGCCCAGCCCAGCUCUGGCCUUGCUUCCCCAGGGGAAGUAUGACGUCCAGGGUCCAAGGGCAGCCCUGAUGCUCAGCAGCCCUGGGGUGGCGGCCGCUGUAGUCACUGCCCUGGAGGACGUGUUCCAGGCCCUGGGCUUUGAGAGCUGCGCGAGGAGGGAGGUCCCGGUCCAGGGCUUCCUCGAGGAACUGGCUUGGUUCCAGGAGCAGCUGGAUGCCCACGGGCGCCCUGUGGGGUGUGCCUUAGUGGCCUUGGUGGCCCCCAGAGGGCAGCUGAGGCAGCCACAGCAGCUGGUCCGGGAGCUGAGCGGCUGCCGGGCCCUGCGGGGCUGCCCCAAAGUCUUCCUGCUGCUCUCAAGUGGCCCUGGGU
Molecule: long non-coding RNA, 581 nt
Filed under: Pan troglodytes (chimpanzee)
Lineage: Eukaryota; Metazoa; Chordata; Mammalia; Primates; Hominidae
Description: long non-coding RNA NONPTRT005893
Source: RNAcentral